Long non-coding RNA from Xiphophorus hellerii (green swordtail), 987 nucleotides. RefSeq lists it as uncharacterized. The transcript has 5 exons. The record is from RefSeq and is a predicted model, not a curated record. NCBI's taxonomy places the organism in Eukaryota, Metazoa, Chordata, Actinopteri, Cyprinodontiformes, Poeciliidae.
UCUCUUUCUCUCUCUCUCUCUCUCUCUCUCUCUCUCUCUCAGCCCUUCCCCCUCCCCCAUCACCAACUUGCUCAGUAUAGGGAAACAAAGUGCUACAGCCUACCCAUCGUAAAUGUUGGCGGGUUAGUCGGGUCUGUGCAGCUGAUUGGCCGGACCUUUACCCUGAGCCUGAAAAAGCGCCGCUGCAGCAAAAAAAAAAAAAAGUAUCCCCGCCCGACACCCACCCCCCAAAAAAGAAAGAAGAAAAGACGAGAUGUAGCUCCUUCCUCUCUCUCUUUGUCCUCCAUCCUUUCACUUCAUUGUAUUGCAGUGUUUACAGGCAAAAAAACAAUAAUAAAAAAGAUGCCUGUAAAAACUGCGCUAUCAUUUCUACCGAAUAACUAUAAAUUGUAUUCCAGCCGAUAGUAUGUCUGUGCAAACUACAUUCAAACUAUGACGGUCAACUAAAUGCACUUUUUUUUUUUUUUUAUUUGAUUUGAUGACUCAAACGCAACGUUUGGGUCACGCAGCACGCGCAUUCCAGAAUGUAAAAUAAUGACCAAGAGAGCUGUCAGUGCUGCCGUACUGCGGUCAAGCAUUUACCUCUUAAAUCAGCUCUGUGUUUGGCCACGGCUCGUGACAGCGCGCACUGAAAGACGCAGUGGGUUCAAUGCGCCUUGGCUGGGAAAGAGGAGCUGGAAGGAGGAAAGAGACGAAGCUGCUGGCUGCGAGAAAGAGGAACAUUGGGCUCUGAUGAUCUGCGAUACGAUCCAUGUUUGAGGGCAAACAAAAUGACGAAAUGUGAGAGCGGACUGGGGGGGGGCUGGAGGGUCCGGGAGAAAAACAAAAACAAUUGACGUCAUCGGUAUGAUGACUACUGCAUAGCAAGACAGAAAUAUUGCGUGGCUGCAGAAGUGUCACAUCUCUAAACAGAGACAGAAGCAGAGGUCAUGGAGGGUAGGGCUAAAAGAAAAAGAACUGAACCUCCAACCUCUAAUCCAACUUGGA